Molecule: ribosomal RNA, 442 nt
Filed under: uncultured bacterium
Lineage: Bacteria
Description: partial 16S ribosomal RNA
Rfam family: Bacterial small subunit ribosomal RNA
Source: RNAcentral
CCUACGGGAGGCAGCAGUAGGGAAUCUUUCACAAUGGGCGAAACCCUGAUCGAGCAACGCCGCGUGCAGGAAGAAGUCCUUCGGGUUGUAAACUGCUUUUAUCAGCGAGGAAUAUGAUGUUAACUGAUGACUAAAGAUUGGCCUACAACUAGCCAGCAGCCGCCAUCGUCCGUAGGACCUGAGCAUUAUCCGGUGUGCGUGGUUGUUAGGAGUGGCGUAGGUGGCAUAGUAAGUAGCUAGUGAAAUCUGGUGGCGCAACCAGUCAGACUAUUAGCGAAACUGCUAAGCUAGAGACUGAUAGAGGUAACUGGAAUUACUGGUGUAGGAGUAAAAUCCGUAAAUAUUAGAAAGAACACCAAUAGCGUAGGCAGGUUACUGGGACGGUUCUGACACUAAGGCACGAAAGCGUAGGGAGCAAACGGGAUUAGAUACCCCGGUAGUC